UCCCUUAGUAGCGGCGAGCGAACAGGGAAGAGCCCAGCGCCGAAUUCCGCGUCUCAAAGGGCGUUUGGAACAUGUGGCGUUUAGGAGGAAUCUCUCCGAGGGCAGACGGUGUCGCAAGUCCCCCUGAACGGGGCUGUGAUCCAGAGCGGGUGCGAGGCCCAUAGCUGGUACCGUCUCCUUUGGGUGUCCCCUCCUUGGAGUCGGGUUGCUUGGGAGUGCAGCCCUAAUUGGGUGGUAAACUCCACCUAAGGCUAAAUACGUCCGUGAGACCGAUAGCAAACAAGUACCGUGAGGGAAAGUUGCAAAGAACUUUGAAGAGAGAGUUCAAGAGUACGUGAAACCGCUCAGAGGCAAACGGGUGGGCCCACGAAAGCCGAAGGCGGGGGGAUUCAGUCGAGAGGACGGUGGGGCAGGACUGGCUGGUUGGACGGACCGUGCCAGGCCGGGUCAGUUCCCGAGAUCUGCCGCCUUUCGACGCAUUUCCCCCUGCUUAGUAGGACGCCGCAACCGGUUGGCGCUGCAGCCAUAAGGGAGAGUAAAUGGAAGGUAGCCAGUGAGUUCUUCUUCGGAGGCGCGAGCUGGUCCUAAGCCGACUCUCCUGGUGCUUGUGGCCCGACCGUGGUCGUGAGUCCCUCAACGGGAUGUCGCCGAGCCCUCUGACAGGAGCGGGAGAAAUGGCAGGCUGCUUUCCGCGGAAAAAAUCGAUCGCUUCACGCGUGCAGUGGGCGAUCUCCGGAGGUAGCUGCUGGUGCAUUUUUCUCCUGCGCUGGGCACAGGCAGUUGGCGGCGAGUAGGUCGGUCACCCACCCGACCCGUCUUGAAACACGGACCAAGGAGUCUAACAUGUGCGCGAGUCAUUGGGUCUUGAACAAGCCCAAAGGCGCAAUGAAAGUGAAGACCAGCACUGAAGCUGGUGGAGUUGGGAAACUGCGUCACUGAAGAUGCAGUUGCACCAACGGCCCGUCCCGUCCGCAUCGUCGGUGGGGCGGAGCGAGAGCGUACACGUUGGGACCCGAAAGAUGGUGAACUAUGCCUGGGCAGGACGAAGCCAGAGGAAACUCUGGUGGAGGUCCG
RNAcentral lists this ribosomal RNA (1074 nucleotides) under Draculoides sp. SCH037. Its description in RNAcentral is "partial large subunit ribosomal RNA". It matches the Rfam family "Eukaryotic large subunit ribosomal RNA", at positions 76 to 877 of the family's 3401-position model. The record is from RNAcentral. RNAcentral also lists the same sequence under 2 other names. Lineage: Eukaryota; Metazoa; Arthropoda; Arachnida; Schizomida; Hubbardiidae.